GGAGAUAUAGCUCAGUGGUAGAACAUAUGUUUGCCAUAUACAAGACCUUGGGUUCAAUGAUCACCCAAUAUGGUCA
RNAcentral lists this transfer RNA (76 nucleotides) under Dipodomys ordii (Ord's kangaroo rat). It matches the Rfam family "tRNA". Rfam says of the family: Transfer RNA (tRNA) molecules are approximately 80 nucleotides in length. Their secondary structure includes four short double-helical elements and three loops (D, anti-codon, and T loops). Lineage: Eukaryota; Metazoa; Chordata; Mammalia; Rodentia; Heteromyidae. The record is from Rfam by way of RNAcentral.